GAUGAACGCUGGCGGCGUGCUUAACACAUGCAAGUCGAACGGAAAGGCCAGUGCUUGCACUGGUACUCGAGUGGCGAACGGGGGAGUAACACGUGGGUGAUCUGCCCUGCACUGCGGGAUAAGCCUGGGAAACUGGGGCGAAUACCGGAUAGGACAAUGGGAUGGAUGCCGUUGUGGAAAGAUUUUUCAGUGUGGGAUGAGCUCGCGGCCUAUCAGCGUGGUGGUGGGGAAAUGGCCUACCAAGGCGUCGACGGGGAGCCGGCAUGAGAGAGUGUACGGCCGCACCGGGCCCCUGAUGCAGGCCGGAGUCCUGAGUGUGGCGGCAGUGGCGAAUAUUGGACGAUGCGCGCCCGCCUGAUUCAUGAAGGCCGUGUGGGCGAUGACGGCCUUUGGGUUGUAAGCUCCUUUGUCUAGGGACCAAGCGUCUUUUUGACGGUACCUGGAGAAGAAGCCCCGGCUAACUACGUG
RNAcentral lists this ribosomal RNA (468 nucleotides) under uncultured bacterium. RNAcentral describes it as "partial 16S ribosomal RNA". It matches the Rfam family "Bacterial small subunit ribosomal RNA", at positions 28 to 507 of the family's 1533-position model. The record is from RNAcentral.